UACGUAGGGUGCAAGCGUUGUCCGGAUUUAUUGGGCGUAAAGAGCGUGUAGGCGGCUAGGUAGGUCCGUUGUGAAAACUCGAGGCUCAACCUCGAGACGCCGAUGGAAACCAUCUAGCUAGAGUCCGGAAGAGGAGAGUGGAAUUCCUGGUGUAGCGGUGAAAUGCGCAGAUAUCAGGAAGAACACCCGUGGCUAAGGCGGCUCUCUAGUACGGUACUGACGCUGAGACGCGAAAGCGUGGGGAGCGAACAGG
Molecule: ribosomal RNA, 253 nt
Filed under: uncultured bacterium
Lineage: Bacteria
Description: partial 16S ribosomal RNA
Rfam family: Bacterial small subunit ribosomal RNA
Source: RNAcentral